AGAGUUUGAUCAUGGCUCAGAACGUACGCUGGCGGCACGCCUAACACAUGCAAGUCGAACGAAGUAGCAAUACUUAGUGGCAGACGGGUGAGUAACAUGUGGGUAUCUGCCCUUUGGCCUGGAAUAACACGAGGAAACUUGUGCUAAUACCGGAUAAGUCUUUACGGAGAAAGCUUUAUGCACCAUUGGAUGAGCCCGCACUUGAUUAGUUUGUUGGUGGGGUAAUGGCCUACCAAGACUGUGAUCAAUAGCUGAUUUGAGAGGAUGAUCAGCCACAUUGGGACUGAGACACGGCCCAAACUCCUACGGGAGGCAGCAGUGGGGAAUCUUGCACAAUGGAGGAAACUCUGAUGCAGCGAUGCCGCGUGAGUGAAGAAGGCCCUUGGGUUGUAAAGCUCUUUCGUCGGGGAAGAAAAUGACUGUACCCGAAUAAGAAGGUCCGGCUAACUUCGUGCCAGCAGCCGCGGCAAUACGAAGGGACCUAGCGUAGUUCGGAAUUACUGGGCUUAAAGAGUUCGUAGGUGGUUGAAAAAGUUGGUGGUGAAAUCCCAGAGCUUAACUCUGGAACUGCCAUCAAAACUUUUCAGCUAGAGUUUGAUAGAGGAAAGCAGAAUUUCUAGUGUAGAGGUGAAAUUCGUAGAUAUUAGAAAGAAUACCAAUUGCGAAGGCAGCUUUCUGGAUCAUUACUGACACUGAGGAACGAAAGCAUGGGUAGCGAAGAGGAUUAGAUACCCUCGUAGUCCAUGCCGUAAACGAUGUGUGUUAGACGUUGGAAAUUUAUUUUCAGUGUCGCAGCGAAAGCGAUAAACACACCGCCUGGGGAGUACGACCGCAAGGUUAAAACUCAAAUGAAUUGACGGGGACCCGCACAAGUAGUGGAGCAUGUGGUUUAAUUCGAAGAUACGCACAGAACCUUACCAACACUUGACAUGUUCGUCGCGACUUUAAGAGAUUAAAGUUUUCGGUUCGGCCGGACGAAACACAGGUGCUGCAUGGCUGUCGUCAGCUCGUGUCGUGAGAUGUUGGGUUAAGUCCCGCAACGAGCGCAACCCUCACUUUUAGUUGCCAUCAUUUAGUUGGGCACUCUGAAAGAACUGCCAGUGAUAAGCUGGAGGAAGGUGGGGAUGACGUCAAGUCCUCAUGGCCCUUACGUGUUGGGCUACACACGUGCUACAAUGGUAUCUACAACAGGAAGCGAAACAGCGAUGUUAAGCAAAUCCUUAAAAGAUACCUCAGUUCGGAUUGCACUCUACAACUCGAGUGCAUGAAGCUGGAAUUACUAGUAAUCGUGGAUCAGCGUGCCACGGUGAAUGCGUUCCCGGGUCUUGUACACACCGCCCGUA
This 1343-nucleotide ribosomal RNA is filed under the name uncultured bacterium. RNAcentral describes it as "bacterial SSU rRNA". It matches the Rfam family "Bacterial small subunit ribosomal RNA". The record is from RNAcentral.